GAUGAACGCUGGCGGCGUGCCUAAUACAUGCAAGUCGAACGAGCGGGCCAGGUGCUUGCUCCGCUCACGUUAGUGGCGGACGGGUGAGUAACACGUGGAUAACCUGCCCAUCAGAGGGGGAUAACAUCGGGAAACGGAUGCUAAUACCGCAUAAUAUUUCGAGCCGCAUGGCUCAAUGGUGAAAGACGGUGUAGGCUUCUGUUGUUGAUUGAACCCGCGCUGCAUUAGCUAGUUGGUGAGGUAACGGCUCACCAAGGCAGUGAUGCGUAGCCGACCUGAGAGGGUGAUCGGCCACACUGGAACUGAGACACGGUCCAGACUCCUACGGGAGGCAGCAGUAGGGAAUCUUCCGCAAUGGGCGAAAGCCUGACGGAGCAACGCCGCGUGAGUGAAGAAGGUCUUCGGAUCGUAAAACUCUGUUGUUAGGGAAGAACAAAUGUGUAAGUAACUAUGAACGUCUUGACGGUACCUAACCAGAAAGCCACGGCUAACUACGUG
This 498-nucleotide ribosomal RNA is filed under the name uncultured bacterium. RNAcentral describes it as "partial 16S ribosomal RNA". It matches the Rfam family "Bacterial small subunit ribosomal RNA", at positions 28 to 507 of the family's 1533-position model. The record is from RNAcentral.